Molecule: ribosomal RNA, 393 nt
Filed under: uncultured bacterium
Lineage: Bacteria
Description: partial 16S ribosomal RNA
Rfam family: Bacterial small subunit ribosomal RNA
Source: RNAcentral
AUACGGAGGAUGCGAGCGUUAUCCGGAUUUAUUGGGUUUAAAGGGUGCGUAGGCUGUGCGUUAAGUCGGGGGUGAAAUGCCGUCGCUCAACGACGGAGCUGCCCUUGAUACUGGCGUGCUGGAGUACGGAUGCCGUUGGAGGAAUGAGUGGUGUAGCGGUGAAAUGCUUAGAUAUCACUCAGAACACCGAUUGCGAAGGCAUCUGACGAAUCCGUCACUGACGCUGAGGCACGAAAGCGUGGGGAUAGAACAGGAUUAGAUACCCUGGUAUUCCACGCCGUAAACGAUGAUGACUAACCGUCGGCGAUAGACAGCCGGUGGCCAAGCGAAAGCGAUAAGUCAUCCACCUGGGGAGUACGUCGGCAACGAUGAAACUCAAAGGAAUUGACGGGG